This 585-nucleotide ribosomal RNA is filed under the name uncultured bacterium. RNAcentral's name for it is "partial 16S ribosomal RNA". It matches the Rfam family "Bacterial small subunit ribosomal RNA", at positions 355 to 1375 of the family's 1533-position model. The record is from RNAcentral.
UGGGGAAUUUUGGACAAUGGGCGAAAGCCUGAUCCAGCAAUGCCGCGUGUGUGAAGAAGGCCUUCGGGUUGUAAAGCACUUUUGUCCGGAAAGAAAUCCUUGGCUCUAAUACAGUCGGGGGAUGACGGUACCGGAAGAAUAAGCACCGGCUAACUACGUGCCAGCAGCCGCGGUAAUACGUAGGGUGCAAGCGUUAAUCGGAAUUACUGGGCGUAAAGCGUGCGCAGGCGGUUUGCUAAGGCCGAUGUGAAAUCCCCGGGCUCAACCUGGGAACUGCAUUGGUGACUGGCAGGCUAGAGUAUGGCAGAGGGGGGUAGAAUUCCACGUGUAGCAGUGAAAUGCGUAGAGAUGUGGAGGAAUACCGAUGGCGAAGGCAGCCCCCUGGGCAAUACUGACGCUCAUGCACGAAAGCGUGGGGAGCAAACAGGAUUAGAUACCCUGGUAGUCCACGCCCUAAAACGAUGUCAACUAGUUGUUGGGGAUUCAUUUCCUUAGUAACGUAGCUAACGCGUGAAGUUGACCGCCUGGGGAGUACGGUCGCAAGAUUAAAACUUAAAUGAAUUGACGGGGUCAUAGCUGUUUCCU